This 166-nucleotide small RNA is filed under the name human gut metagenome. RNAcentral describes it as "Clostridiales-1 RNA". It matches the Rfam family "Clostridiales-1 RNA". The record is from RNAcentral.
GAUGCCAGGGUCAAAAGGUCUAAGCCCACAUGAGCUUGCUCAUAAGUGGGUGAAAGACCUUGGGACCCGCCCCGAUAUGAGCAUAAAAGUGGGAUGAUAAUCCCGCGAUAUGCGAAUAUCGAGUAGGAUUGUGGGAGUGCAUAGCACGGAGCAAUCCGUAGGCAUC